UGCAUAUCAAAUAAGCGGAGGAAAAGAAACCAACAGGGAUUACCUCAGUAACGGCGAGUGAAGCGGUAACAGCUCAAAUUUGAAAUCUGGCUCUUUUAGGGUCCGAGUUGUAAUUUGUAGAAGAUGCUUCGAGUGUGGCUCCGGUCUAAGUUCCUUGGAACAGGACGUCAUAGAGGGUGAGAAUCCCGUAUGUGACUGGUAGCUUUCGCUCAUGUGAAGCUCUUUCGACGAGUCGAGUUGUUUGGGAAUGCAGCUCAAAAUGGGUGGUAAAUUUCAUCUAAAGCUAAAUAUUGGCCAGAGACCGAUAGCGCACAAGUAGAGUGAUCGAAAGAUGAAAAGCACUUUGGAAAGAGAGUUAAACAGUACGUGAAAUUGUUGAAAGGGAAGCGCUUGCAACCAGACUUGCACUUGAUCGAUCAUCCGGGGUUCUCCCCGGUGCACUCGUUCUCGUUCAGGCCAGCAUCGGUUCAGGUGGUGGGAUAAAGGCCUUGGGAAUGUAGCUUCUUUCGGGGAGUGUUAUAGCCCUCGGUGCAAUGCCGCCUACCUGGACCGAGGACCGCGCUUCGGCUAGGAUGCUGGCGUAAUGGUUGUAAGCGACCCGUCUUGAAACACGGACCAAGGAGUCUAACAUCUAUGCGAGUGUUUGGGUGUCAAACCCAUACGCGUAAUGAAAGUGAACGGAGGUGAGAACCCUUAAGGGUGCAUCAUCGACCGAUCCUGAUGUCUUCGGAUGGAUUUGAGUAAGAGCAUAGCUGUUGGGACCCGAAAGAUGGUGAACUAUGCCUGAAUAGGGUGAAGCCAGAGGAAACUCUGGUGGAGGCUCGCAGCGGUUCUGACGUGCAAAUCGAUCGUCAAAUU
RNAcentral lists this ribosomal RNA (858 nucleotides) under Fuscolachnum sp. Its description in RNAcentral is "partial large subunit ribosomal RNA". It matches the Rfam family "Eukaryotic large subunit ribosomal RNA", at positions 37 to 911 of the family's 3401-position model. Lineage: Eukaryota; Fungi; Ascomycota; Leotiomycetes; Helotiales; Hyphodiscaceae. The record is from RNAcentral.